GAUGAACGCUGGCGGCGUGCCUAAUACAUGCAAGUCGAGCGAACAGAGGAGGAACUUGCUCCUCUGACGUUAGCGGCGGACGGGUGAGUAACACGUGGAUAACCUACGUAUAAGACUGGGAUAACUUCGGUAAACCGGAGCUAAUACCGGAUAAAAUAUUGAACCGCAUGGUUCAAUAGUGAAAGACGGUUUUGCUGUCACUUAUACAUGGAUCCGCGCAGCAUUAGCUAGUUGGUAAGGUAACGGCUUACCAAGGCAACGAUGCGUAGCCGACCUGAGAGAGUGAUCGGCCACACUGGAACUGGGCACCGGUCCAGCCUCUUCCGGGAGGAAGAAGUAGGGAAUCUCCGGCAAGGGGGGAAAGCCUGCCGGAGCACCGCCGCGUGAGUGAUGAAGGUCUUCGGAUCUUAAAACUCUGUUAUUAGGGAAGAACAAAUGUGUAAGUAACUAUGCAAGUCUUGACGGUACCUAAUCAGAAAGCCACGGCUAACUACGUG
This 497-nucleotide ribosomal RNA is filed under the name uncultured bacterium. Its description in RNAcentral is "partial 16S ribosomal RNA". It matches the Rfam family "Bacterial small subunit ribosomal RNA", at positions 28 to 507 of the family's 1533-position model. The record is from RNAcentral.